CCGCCGGCCAUCUCGGUCGCGUGGAAUGUGGUGUUUGGGAGAGCCUCCUCGCUGUGCGUUGACCGGUCCAAGUCCACCUUGACUGGGGCCCUGGCCCAUAGAGGGUGAUAGGCCCGUAAGACGGUCGACGCGCUGCGCUGGCUUUUCCCUAGAGUCGAGUUGCUUGGGAGUGCAGCUCAAAGUGCGUGGUAAACUCCACGUAAGGCUAAAUAUGACCCCGAGACCGAUAGCGAACAAGUACCGUGAGGGAAAGUUGAAAAGCACUUUGAAGAGAGAGUUAAAUAGUACGUGAAACUGUGUAGUGGUAAACGGAGGGGCUCUCGAAGUCGGCGCGGGAGAUUCAGGCUGACGGCCGGGCGGGUUGGGCGUGCGUGAUCCGCGAGGACUCCGCGUUUUUCUCGGCCCUGUCGGCGGCUGCACUUCUCUCGUGCUCCACGCGACGAACCGCUGCCUGCGGACCGUGGACCCGGGUGAAGUUUGUUGUUCUUCGGAGCGGCAAGCCCCGGGCUCUUGGCUCUGCGGGCGGCGGGUACAGGAGUGGUCUCGUAUAGCGAGUGUCUCUCGCUGGCACGGGCCGCAUCUCUGUCGCGAGUAGGUCGGCGGCCCCUCCGACCCGUCUUGAAACACGGACCAAGGAGUCUAACAUGUGUGCGAGCCAUUGGGUGUUCUAAACCUAAGGGCGCAGUGAAAGCGAAGGGCACUUUUGUGUCUCAGGGGCGAUCCCUUGCGGGCGCAGCCCCGGCGCUUCGCGUCGAC
This 756-nucleotide ribosomal RNA is filed under the name Euryte sp. DZMB480. RNAcentral's name for it is "eukaryotic LSU rRNA". It matches the Rfam family "Eukaryotic large subunit ribosomal RNA", at positions 121 to 778 of the family's 3401-position model. RNAcentral also lists the same sequence under 2 other names. The record is from RNAcentral. Lineage: Eukaryota; Metazoa; Arthropoda; Copepoda; Cyclopoida; Cyclopidae.